AGACAGGUGGUGCGAUGGUUGUCGUCAGCUCGUGUCGUGAGAUGUUGGGUUAAGUCCCGCAACGAGCGCAACCCUUGUGUUUAGUUGCAAACAGGUCAAGCUGUGCACUCUAGACAGACUGCCGUGGACAACACGGAGGAAGGUGGGGAUGACGUCAAAUCAUCAUGCCCCUUAUGAUCUGGGCUACACACGUGCUACAAUGGCCGGUACAACGGGCAGCGAAGGAGCGAUCCGGAGCGAAUCCUAAAAAGCCGGUCCCAGUUCGGAUUGCAGGCUGAAACUCGCCUACAUGAAGUUGGAGUUGCUAGUAAUCGCGAAUCAGAAUGUCGCGGUGAAUGCGUUCCCGGGUCUU
This 352-nucleotide ribosomal RNA is filed under the name uncultured Fusibacter sp. Its description in RNAcentral is "bacterial SSU rRNA". It matches the Rfam family "Bacterial small subunit ribosomal RNA", at positions 1032 to 1382 of the family's 1533-position model. Lineage: Bacteria; Bacillati; Bacillota; Clostridia; Eubacteriales; Fusibacteraceae. The record is from RNAcentral.